RNAcentral lists this ribosomal RNA (480 nucleotides) under uncultured bacterium. Its description in RNAcentral is "bacterial SSU rRNA". It matches the Rfam family "Bacterial small subunit ribosomal RNA", at positions 30 to 506 of the family's 1533-position model. The record is from RNAcentral.
UUGAACGCUGGCGGCAUGCCUUACACAUGCAAGUCGAACGGCAGCACGGGGCAACCUGGUGGCGAGUGGCGAACGGGUGAGUAAUAUAUCGGAACAUACCCUAGAGUGGGGGAUAACGUAGCGAAAGUUACGCUAAUACCGCAUACGAACUAAGGUUGAAAGUGGGGGAUCGCAAGACCUCAUGCUCAUGGAGUGGCCGAUAUCUGAUUAGCUAGUUGGUGAGGUAAAGGCUCACCAAGGCGACUAUCAGUAGCUGGUCUGAGAGGACGACCAGCCACACUGGAACUGAGACACGGUCCAGACUCCUACGGGAGGCAGCAGUGGGGAAUUUUGGACAAUGGGGGCAACCCUGAUCCAGCAAUGCCGCGUGAGUGAAGAAGGCCUUCGGGUUGUAAACUGCUUUUGUCAGGGAAGAAAUCCUCUGGGUUAAUACCUCGGGGGGAUGACGGUACCUGAAGAAUAAGCACCGGCUAACUACGU